AAGCAGCAGAACCACUGAGCUAAAUCUCCAGCUCCUGAGUGAGGCUUUUCAAGACCAUUCUUGUAUUGUCUUUCUUCCAAAACAUAAAAUUUGCACACUUAAGAAUGUAUGUUACAUAUGACUCAACGCAUCACCACGUGUGCGCCUGUUUCUUUCCCUUAUGUGAUGACACUUUUGUUGUACACAAGAGGGCAGUAAGGUUGGACCUUACAUUAUCACAAUAACAGAAAAGCUGUCUCACAUCAAUGCUCUGCUUCCCAGCUUCCAUGAACUCGGCAUUUUGCUUUGUUACAUUGUUAUAGCAUGGUGUUUCUGCUUUGGAGGCAGCUGACCAUGGAUUGGUUCCCUUGAAAUCGUUACUCACUUAUUGAGACCAAAAAGAACCUUAGGAACUUGGGAGACUCUUACUGACUUUGAAGAGUAUAGCCUCAAAGAAGCAAGGUUAUGAAGCUUCAUUAGCAAACAGUAUCAUUGCUAAAGAUCAAAGACCACCACAAUGGUUGGAAUAAAAGGACAUGGCAGGCUGGAAGCCAUGUACUACAAAAAGGAACAAGUAUCUGGGAAACAUUACUUUGAGGAUAGACUACUAUUU
Molecule: long non-coding RNA, 592 nt
Organism: Fukomys damarensis (Damara mole-rat)
Lineage: Eukaryota; Metazoa; Chordata; Mammalia; Rodentia; Bathyergidae
Exons: 4
Source: RefSeq, a predicted model, not a curated record